Molecule: long non-coding RNA, 1180 nt
Organism: Hirundo rustica (Barn swallow)
Lineage: Eukaryota; Metazoa; Chordata; Aves; Passeriformes; Hirundinidae
Exons: 4
Source: RefSeq, a predicted model, not a curated record
GAUGCUUGCUGCCUUCUUUGGGGUCAGUCAUGCCUUCUCCAUCAACCUGAUAUGAAUCUGUUUCAUCCAAAGAGUGAUCUCUGAAGGAGGAUUUCAACCAACACAACUGCAAACCUUAAAGCAGCUAAGUUGAAGUGUUGGCACUUGAAUUGUCCUGCAUCUAAAGGGAGAGGAGCAUCAAAGGUCAUGUCUCAGUGGAUUUGAGAGAGUGUCUAUGCCAGCACAGGAGGCCUACAAAAAGAAUAUGGAUCAGAUUUGGAAAGGAGAAGGCAAUGGAAUCCAAGUGCUCCAAGCUCUGAACAGUGUUUCCAGAUGCAGCUGGGAGAGAUGUAUUCACUUCAACUUCUUUUGACUCCACAAAAAAGGCUUCAAGGAACAACAUAUGAGCUUGGCUUUCUCUGUUUCACCUACUGGGAAUGAAAGAACUGACAUUAUGUUUGGUUUUUCUAAAUGCAGAAAGCAGUUCCCAAGAGUAAUUUUUCCUUCUCAGAGGCAGCUCUGCCUCCUCUGUUCCCUUCCAUAACCUGUACUAGGAUACUUCUGUGCCCUAUGCAAAAGGAUUCCUUUAGCUUUGAGAGUUAAAAGUAAAACUGAAUUCUGUAUCAUGAUAUCAGGCUACAGUUAAUGUUUUUGGUUUGCUCAUAUUUGGUUACCUUUGUGUUUCAUCAUUGUGGAGCUUAUAAAUGAACAGAAAUCUUCAUUAGAAAAUCAAAGUGACCUACAGGAUAUUUUUAAGUUAUUAAUUUUUAGCACUUAAAAGAUGAUGAUAUAGAGCGGAUUACUUUGGGGAAUUUGUUAUAUAGUGAAAUUCUGGAGUGUGACCAUGCAGGUUAACUAAUGUCCUUCCAGUAAGAGCCUAUCUCAAAUCAUAGGGAAAGAUACAGAACACAUUGCUGCUUCUCCUCUUCCUUUGCCUAUCACCUUUAUCUUCAUUAAAACAUGGAUUAAAAUUCUUAUCCUCGUUCUUUAUCUCCAUUAGACUGCUGUCACUUGAAGAAAAUAUUUUUCCCCUAGCUGGUUUCUAGGGAUGUUAUUGUGCUUUUCUGGUGUAGAGGAGUAUACAAAACUUACAGCUUUCAGCUUUUCAUCUAGAUAGUUGUUUGAAAAAUACAGUGAUACUUUAUUCAGAGAAACAGAAUUAUUUUCUUUUUUACUUCUACACUAUAGCAGUAUUUUUUUC